This 495-nucleotide ribosomal RNA is filed under the name uncultured bacterium. Its description in RNAcentral is "partial 16S ribosomal RNA". It matches the Rfam family "Bacterial small subunit ribosomal RNA", at positions 28 to 507 of the family's 1533-position model. The record is from RNAcentral.
GACGAACGCUGGCGGCGUGCCUAAUACAUGCAAGUAGAACGCUGAAGGAGGAGCUUGCUUCUCUGGAUGAGUUGCGAACGGGUGAGUAACGCGUAGGUAACCUGCCUGGUAGCGGGGGAUAACUAUUGGAAACGAUAGCUAAUACCGCAUAAUAGCAGUUGUUGCAUGACAACUGUUUGAAGGGUGCAAUUGCACCACUACCAGAUGGACCUGCGUUGUAUUAGCUAGUUGGUGGGGUAACGGCUCACCAAGGCGACGAUACAUAGCCGACCUGAGAGGGUGAUCGGCCACACUGGGACUGAGACACGGCCCAGACUCCUACGGGAGGCAGCAGUAGGGAAUCUUCGGCAAUGGACGGAAGUCUGACCGAGCAACGCCGCGUGAGUGAAGAAGGUUUUCGGAUCGUAAAGCUCUGUUGUAAGAGAAGAACGAGUGUGAGAGUGGAAAGUUCACACUGUGACGGUAUCUUACCAGAAAGGGACGGCUAACUACGUG